GACGAACGCUGGCGGCGUGCUUAACACAUGCAAGUCGAACGGAAAGGCCCUGCUUUUGUGGGGUGCUCGAGUGGCGAACGGGUGAGUAGCACGUGAGUAACCUGCCCUUGACUUUGGGAUAACUUCAGGAAACUGGGGCUAAUACCGGAUAGGAGCUCCUGCUGCAUGGUGGGGGUUGGAAAGUUUCGGCGGUUGGGGAUGGACUCGCGGCUUAUCCGCUUGUUGGUGGGGUAGUGGCUUACCAAGGCUUUGACGGGUAGCCGGCCUGAGAGGGUGACCGGCCACAUUGGGACUGAGAUACGGACCAGACUCCUACGGGAGGCAGCAGUGGGGAAUAUUGCACAAUGGGCGGAAGCCUGAUGCAGCAACGCCGCGUGCGGGAUGACGGCCUUCGGGUUGUAAACCGCUUUCGCCUGUGACGAAGCGUGAGUGACGGUAAUGGGUAAAGAAGCACCGGCUAACUACGUG
Molecule: ribosomal RNA, 468 nt
Filed under: uncultured bacterium
Lineage: Bacteria
Description: partial 16S ribosomal RNA
Rfam family: Bacterial small subunit ribosomal RNA
Source: RNAcentral